This is a small nucleolar RNA of Cannabis sativa, 107 nucleotides long. The record is from RefSeq and is a predicted model, not a curated record. Lineage: Eukaryota; Viridiplantae; Streptophyta; Magnoliopsida; Rosales; Cannabaceae.
AUCCUGUGGUGAGGACACUUUCUGAUCAGGUCUUUGAAUCUUUUUUAGGCUUCAUAUAGAGACUCAUUGUCUUGUUGGAUGAAGUUGUUAAUUUCUUAUCUUAGUCU